This is a long non-coding RNA of Anolis carolinensis (green anole), 2144 nucleotides long. RefSeq lists it as uncharacterized. The record is from RefSeq and is a predicted model, not a curated record. The transcript is spliced from 4 exons. NCBI's taxonomy places the organism in Eukaryota, Metazoa, Chordata, Lepidosauria, Squamata, Anolidae.
GUGUUCGGGGUGUGUACAUUGUGGGGCGAGCACUCCCACAGAGCCCCGUGGCGGCCACUGGGUCGGGGGAGGGCCGUGACGUGGGCAGGAAAUCCCCCUCUUCCUCCUCCUCCCUCUUCAGACAGUGCGAGCCUUAUAUAAUCGCCAGGGGAGCUUGCUCGCCCUGCCCCGCGUGAUCUUUGCUGCCCAGGGCCCCGCGGAGCAGCAACAACAACAACAACAACAAGAUUAAGGCCUCCUCGUCAUUCCCUUGAGGGGCCUGGGCCUGGCGCCUGGCAUGCAAGGUGGCCUGGCUCCUCUCAGAAGGAAAGAGGGAGCCAAAGGCAAGGCAUUAGUGGUGACGCAUGUCUAGGCUGGAGGGACAUUUCCAUGGGGGAGACCCUGGAGAGGAAGCUGGACUCCAGCUCCCAUCAGUGGUUAUAUUUCAGAGGAACGACCUGGCAAAACAACCCCUGAGUGUUUCUUGCCAGUGAAAUUCAUGGGGUCACCAUACAUCAGUGGGUGACCUCAAGGUGCAGACACACCCCUAAUUUUUUUUAAAUCUUGCAAAGAAUCCUUUCACAAGACACCAUGGACCCAGUACUGGCCCAUGAAAAGACUGACCACUGACUCCAGUCCCAACCUUGCCCUCUUAGGCAAUUCCCAAAGCCCCUUUUCUGCAAGAUGGUGGUUCUGGCUUUUGCUCACUGGACUUUGCUACUCCUGUGCUGUUGGGGAAGGUGGUAGAAAUCACAGUUUCUCAAUGCGACAUGUGGGAAUGAGACAAAUCCUCGAGCAUGACUCCAAAGUCAUACAUCAUAGGCAGUCACUCGUGGCCGAGUUUUGACAGCAGCAGAAGCAACAAUAACAACAACAACAACAACAACAACAACAACAACAACAACAACAACAAAAUAUCAGAAAUCUGGGAGGACAUGUCAAUUCAGGACACAGAGAAGGAACUCAAGGAAACAUUCUUCUAAUCUAAAGAACUGUAAAUGCUUAACUAUUGGCCUCCUCCUCACAUGGAAUCCAAUCUGUUUCAUAAACACACACAAAGCCAACCAACAGGAAACUCAGUGUGCCACUGCAGGCAAGUAAAAGGCUUUGAACUAUGGGCAAUGUGCACACCCAAAUUACAUACUGCGAUGUUCACAAUAUUUGAGCUGUUCCACAAUGCAGAAGCCAAUUAUUCUUGGCAAGAACACCUAGCGUGCUUUCCAGCUCACCAUCCCUCACAUGUGGAACUGUGCCACAUCAAACGAACCAAGUCAUAAAUUCCAUAAAUCCCUUGCAGAUGAAAGCCAAGAGAAAGGGGGGGGGGGAUGGAGGCCUUGUGGUGAACAGAGCUUUUAGGAUAAACAGGCUGUCAUUCAUCCGCUCAGAGAGGUGUUAUCACUGGGACAGGGGGGGAAAAAGAUGGCUAAAUGGCCAGUCCAAGUUUGGCCAUGGACCAUCAUCAGGGAAGAGGGGUUCAAGAUGUAACUUAAUAAGCAAAAGACCAGGUCUGUCUUGAAGAAAUUAUAUGACACAUAAAAAGAAGAGAUUGAUAUCUUACAUCUUUAGAGUCUGCCCAGAGUACAGAAUAUUGUUUUCUGCAGAUAUUUUAAACAACAACAAUAUGUGUAUUAUGCCCUCAAAAACAUGGUAUCCCAAGAGGUAGGCUAUGACUUCAUUGGGUUUCUGGGCAGAAGCAACUCAUCCUAAGAAGUUAUAGAGGAGCUAGGAUUUUCCUGUUGUUGUUGUUGUUGUGCCUCUUCAAGUCCUGUCUGAUUUAUGGCAACCCUAAGGUGAACCUAUCAGGGUUUUCUUGGCAGAAUUUGUUCAAAGGGGGUUUGUCUUGGUCCUCCUCUGCAACAGAGAGAUUGUGAUUUACCCAUGGCUGCCCAAUACGUUUUCAUGGGUGAGCGAGGAUUUUAAUGCUGGUCUCUUAGUGUCAUAAUCAAACACUAUAUCAUGCUGGCUCUCCUCAUACACUAGCCCUAUUUUAUUUCCUCAUGGAACUCUUGAUUAUUUCUCAGAAAGUUCAGUCAUAGCAGGAUGACGCUGGUAACUUACUGACAGAGGUUUUUAGAAACACAUUGUAUAACUUUCCCUGCUUCUGAAUGCAACUUAGAGUACUUGUUAGAAUAAGCAACACCAAUUGAGGAAACUAUCCCUCCCCU